GUUUAAUGAUGAUGUUUUGCGCGGUUGUUGUGUCUGCCAUAAUCAUAAUUCUUAUGCUUAUCUUUGCUUGUGGAGACUCUAACAACGUCGACGAGGAUGUUAGGACCCAGUGGUCUCCGAACAUCAUAGCACCAUAUUCAGGCGGUGCAGCCGCAAAUGGUAUCAUCUCAGCCGCGGCCGCGGCUAAUGCGGCGGCCGCGGUUGAUGCGGCCACGGGUUUCCUCUCAGCCAUGGCCACGGCAAAUUUGAUCGCAUCAGCAACUGCUAUGGGCGGUGGAGGCGGCGGCGGCGGCUGUUAAAUAUGAAGAUGAGUAGCGUUGGAUUUAUGAUUUGAAUUACCUUUAGACUGGAAUAUGAAUUUUGGAUAUUAUGUACUCUUGAAUAUCUUUGUAUUUUCGUAAAGUGACAAAGUGUAUACUAUAAAGUGUAAAUUCCAUUUGUGA
This is a long non-coding RNA of Ipomoea nil (Japanese morning glory), 443 nucleotides long. RefSeq lists it as uncharacterized. The transcript is spliced from 2 exons. Lineage: Eukaryota; Viridiplantae; Streptophyta; Magnoliopsida; Solanales; Convolvulaceae. The record is from RefSeq and is a predicted model, not a curated record.